This 597-nucleotide ribosomal RNA is filed under the name uncultured Alphaproteobacteria bacterium. RNAcentral's name for it is "partial 16S ribosomal RNA". The record is from RNAcentral. Lineage: Bacteria; Pseudomonadati; Pseudomonadota; Alphaproteobacteria.
UUGGGAGCUCUCCCAUAUGGUCGACCUGCAGGCGGCCGCGAAUUCACUAGUGAUUCGUAUUACCGCGGCUGCUGGCACGGAGUUAGCCGGAGCUUAUUCUCCCGGUACUGUCAUUAUCAUCCCGGGUAAAAGAGCUUUACAACCCUAAGGCCUUCAUCACUCACGCGGCAUUGCUGGAUCAGGCUUUCGCCCAUUGUCCAAUAUUCCCCACUGCUGCCUCCCGUAGGAGUCUGGGCCGUGUCUCAGUCCCAGUGUGGCUGAUCAUCCUCUCAGACCAGCUAAGGAUCGUCGCCUUGGUGCGCCUUUACCACACCAACUAGCUAAUCCGACCUAGGCUCAUCUGAUAGCGCAAGGCCCGAAGGUCCCCUGCUUUCUCCCGUAGGACGUAUGCGGUAUUAGCGUCCGUUUCCGAGCGUUAUCCCCCACUACCAGGCAGAUUCCUAGGCAUUACUCACCCGUCCGCCGCUCUCAAGAGGUGCAAGCACCUCUCUACCGCUCGACUUGCAUGUGUUAGGCCUGCCGCCAGCGUUCAAUCUGAGCCAUGAUCAAACUCUAAUCGAAUUCCCGCGGCCGCCAUGGCGGCCGGGAGCAUGCGAC